GACGAACGCUGGCGGCGUGCUUAACACAUGCAAGUCGUGCGGAAAGGCCCUUCGGGGUGCUCGAGCGGCGAACGGGUGAGUAACACGUGAGUGAUCUGCCCUCUACUUUGGGAUAACCCUCGGAAACGGGGGCUAAUACCGGAUAGGACCUGCUGCUGCAUGGUGGUGGGUGGAAAGGACCUUCGGGUUCGGUGGGGGAUGGGCUCGCGGCCUAUCAGUUUGUAGGUGGGGUUAUGGCCUACCUAGGCGGUGACGGGUAGCCGGCCUGAGAGGGUGACCGGCCACACUGGGACUGAGACACGGCCCAG
This 308-nucleotide ribosomal RNA is filed under the name uncultured bacterium. RNAcentral's name for it is "bacterial SSU rRNA". It matches the Rfam family "Bacterial small subunit ribosomal RNA", at positions 28 to 334 of the family's 1533-position model. The record is from RNAcentral.